AUUGAACGCUGGCGGCAUGCCUUACACAUGCAAGUCGAACGGCAGCACGGGAGCAAUCCUGGUGGCGAGUGGCGAACGGGUGAGUAAUAUAUCGGAACGUGCCCAGUAGUGGGGGAUAGCCCGGCGAAAGCCGGAUUAAUACCGCAUACGACCUGUGGGUGAAAGCGGGGGAUCGCAAGACCUCGCGCUAUUGGAGCGGCCGAUAUCAGAUUAGCUAGUUGGUGGGGUAAAGGCCUACCAAGGCGACGAUCUGUAGCUGGUCUGAGAGGACGACCAGCCACACUGGGACUGAGACACGGCCCAGACUCCUACGGGAGGCAGCAGUGGGGAAUUUUGGACAAUGGGCGCAAGCCUGAUCCAGCCAUGCCGCGUGUGGGGAAGAA
Molecule: ribosomal RNA, 383 nt
Filed under: uncultured bacterium
Lineage: Bacteria
Description: bacterial SSU rRNA
Rfam family: Bacterial small subunit ribosomal RNA
Source: RNAcentral